GGCCCAAGGAGGGCGCGGCCACAGGAGAGGGGGAAGACCACAGCCAGCGACGGGACGGGGGAGAGCAAGAGCCCGGAGAGGACGAGACAGAACCAGGCCCACGGGGCGCAGCAGGCGCGAAAACACAAGCGGGAAACCGGAAAGGGGACACCGAGGCCAGCACAAGCGGCGCCGGAGGAAAAACACCGAGCAAGGGCCGGGCAAGACCGGGCCAGCCGCCGCGGAACACCGGCGGCCCGAGGGGACGGAAGGGCAAAGGGCCGAGCCGGGGCAGCCCCGGGAAACGAAGCCAACAAGGCCGGGGGAACGCCAGACGGAACCGGGAGAGGAAGAGGACACAGGGGAGGAGGAAACGAACCCCGGGGACCACCGGGCGAAGGCGCACCAGAACGGGCGACGGGAGGGACGAAAGCGGGGGCACGAACCGGAAGAACCCGGGAGCCCAGCCGAAACGAGCCGCAGGGCAGGCAGGCGCGACCGGCGGGCCGCAGGGAAGCCGGAAGCGAGCCACCGGGAAGAC
This 520-nucleotide ribosomal RNA is filed under the name uncultured archaeon. Its description in RNAcentral is "partial 16S ribosomal RNA". The record is from RNAcentral.